Molecule: long non-coding RNA, 2109 nt
Organism: Tetranychus urticae (two-spotted spider mite)
Lineage: Eukaryota; Metazoa; Arthropoda; Arachnida; Trombidiformes; Tetranychidae
Source: RefSeq, a predicted model, not a curated record
ACACUAGAUGUCAUCUGUGACUAUUAUUUACCGUUUUUUUUCUUUUUCUUUAAAUAAUUAGUGCGAUAAUUAAAUUUGUUUUUAAGUUGUUUUUGAUUAUUUAACUUGGGUUACUUUUUGAUCUGUGUUGCCAAUUGAUUCUAAAUCAAUGGUUGAAGCCAACUUUAACCUGGUUCAUCGUGGUCAACAUCCUAAUCAACCACAUUAUGGAUAUUAAAGUGGGUGCAAUUUUGUCUACACUCUUUAGUGUAAAACAACUGCAGCAACAACCUCACCAACCAAGCAUCUUUAACUUUAACCCAAAGGAAACUAACAAUAGAGGCGAAGGCGAAAGCGAGGAGGAAGAAGAAGAAGGUGAAGGUGAAAGGAAAACAAGGCAAAGAAUUGAAUAAACUUGUGGUGAACAAAACUCAAUCAACUGCAGCAACAUCAUCACCAUAAACCAUCUUCAAAGCCAUCAUCAUCACCAUUGGAACAGCAAACAAAAACACACUUUUCCCCUCCUCAUGCACACAUAUACGAAUCAAUGUCAUCACCAUCAUUCAGACUUAAUUUUUUGUUCCCAUUUUAUUUAACACACUUGAAACCAUCAAAUGAAGUAACAAACACGUCUAUUUAUUUAUUUACUUAAUUUGUAUUUAAUUACUUGUCAUCAAUAUUUACUUAUACAAAAUGUGCGAUUCAGUGAGCAAGUUAUUCAGUGUGUUUCUGUGUAUGUGUGUCUGUAUGGCGUUAUGCGAUCAACAAGCAGCAAAAAAUAUGAAACAUUUUGUAAUAACCAGUUAAGAGUUAAUAACAUUUGAGGUUUACCUUAUUUUCAUGUCAAAAACAUUCACCAUUAUUAUAAUUUUCGCCUUUCUCAUGCUCUUUCUUUUUCUGUUUGCAUUCAUGAUAAUAACCUUGAAUACAGAAGCUCAGGAAAAUAGCAAUGAAAAAGAGUUUACGGCUUUUUUUCGUCUAAUCUUUUUCUUCCUUUUGGCAGACGCAUUUGACAAAAAAAAACCACAGAGCUGUUUGUCUGUAAGAUGCUGGGUGAUGUUGUUGUUUUGGUGCACAAGGACAACUUUAUUUGUAUUGAUUAUUUAACAGUUAAACAAGCUUUUUCCUCUUUUUUGCUUCACUUUGUAGUUCAUAAUUUUUUUUUCAAAGUCAACAAACUUUCACUUGAAGAGCGAGUUAAGUCAAUCAGUGAGUUACUUUGCCUCCUUUGGAUUACUUCCAAUCCUUUUACUUCAAGGCAAACCAUGUUGAUUGUUGAUGAUAAUGAUGAUAAUGAUGGGUGUGAGAGAGAGAGGAAAGGGAGAAGAGCAACUUUUUGGCCUCUCAAAAUAGCUUCAUGUGUGUAUGUGUUUAUACAUUGAGCUAUUCCGUUGUGUUCCGUGUAUACUUCUGGAUGUGUAUUUUGAAGAUAACAGUUAUGUAGAUGGUGUACAAUAUGCUGUACUUUCAAGUGCAGUUGAUUUCUGAAUGAUUAGUGAAGAGAGGAUGAAGAUGAUGGUGAUGAUGAUGGAGGAGGAGGGAGAGAGAGAGUGAGUGUCAACUUGAUGUUACAAAGUUAGUUUUUCAGAAGAAGCAAGAAAAGGAAAAGGAAAUGCAUCUUAACUGUGUCCUUGGAUUUCAAUCAAAGAAGGGGCAAGAAAAUGCAUUUACUGAGAGGAUUGUUUCAAAAAUUGUUGUUGUUUCGUCUUGAUAAUCAUCCAAGGGACUGUUGUUAUUACUGUUGUUUUUGCUUCUCUCCGUUUUUGUGGGAACCAUUUUUUUUGGCCACAAACAAAAAUUUUAAGCAAAAAAAAAGAAUCAACUUUUCCUCUCUUUUCCUUCUCUCUCUCAUCAACAACGUGCAUGGGAAAAGGAAGGGUUGUGAAGAGAGAGAAAAGUGCAUUGAACGUUACCUGUACCCUUUGGUCAGUUAGUGCUGGUCACUUGAUCAGAGGUUAAGGGGCACAGAGGCUCAUUGAAGUAUGCUUAAAGGGAAAACACGUUGCAAAGACCAACCAACCUUAUUUGGUGAAUAGAGUAAAAAAGGGCUUGGAUAAUGGCGAAAAGAGGUUUUUUUACUCGUUGGAAUUUUUUCUCUCUUCUCUUCUUCUUCUCUCUCACUCUUCGUUA